This 18-nucleotide non-coding RNA is filed under the name Arabidopsis thaliana (thale cress). Lineage: Eukaryota; Viridiplantae; Streptophyta; Magnoliopsida; Brassicales; Brassicaceae. The record is from RNAcentral.
GAUUACGGUGGCGGCCUA